GUGUGUGUAGCUAAGCAGUUAGAGAAUCCUUCUGGAUUGAGGUGGUCAUGGGUUUGAAUCCCAUUGCACACA
Molecule: non-coding RNA, 72 nt
Organism: Cronartium quercuum f. sp. fusiforme G11
Lineage: Eukaryota; Fungi; Basidiomycota; Pucciniomycetes; Pucciniales; Coleosporiaceae
Source: the annotation of a GenBank genome assembly